GAUGAACGCUGGCGGCGUGCCUAAUACAUGCAAGUCGAGCGAACAGACGAGGAGCUUGCUCCUCUGACGUUAGCGGCGGACGGGUGAGUAACACGUGUAUAACCUACCUAUCAGACUGGGAUAAUUUCGGGAAACCGGAGCUAAUACCGGAUAAUAUAUUGAACCGCAUGGUUCAAUAGUGAAAGACGGUUUUGCUGUCACUUAUAGAUGGAUCCGCGCCGCAUUAGCUAGUUGGUAAGGUAACGGCUUACCAAGGCAACGAUGCGUAGCCGACCUGAGAGGGUGAUCGGCCACACUGGAACGGAGACACGGUCCAGACUCCUACGGGAGGCAGCAGUAGGGAAUCUUCCGCAAUGGGCGAAAGCUUGACGGAGCAACGCCGCGUGAGUGAUGAAGGUCUUCGGAUCGUAAAACUCUGUUAUUAGGGAAGAACAAAUGUGUAAGUAACUAUGCACGUCUUGACGGUACCUAAUCAGAAAGCCACGGCUAACUACGUG
RNAcentral lists this ribosomal RNA (497 nucleotides) under uncultured bacterium. RNAcentral describes it as "partial 16S ribosomal RNA". It matches the Rfam family "Bacterial small subunit ribosomal RNA", at positions 28 to 507 of the family's 1533-position model. The record is from RNAcentral.